Molecule: transfer RNA, 67 nt
Filed under: Odontotermes sp. B TB-2017
Lineage: Eukaryota; Metazoa; Arthropoda; Insecta; Blattodea; Termitidae
Description: tRNA-Trp
Source: RNAcentral
AAGGCCUUAAGUUAAGCAAAACUAAUAACCUUCAAAGCUAUAAAUAAAGGGCUCCCUUUAGGCCUUG